This 424-nucleotide ribosomal RNA is filed under the name uncultured prokaryote. Its description in RNAcentral is "bacterial SSU rRNA". It matches the Rfam family "Bacterial small subunit ribosomal RNA", at positions 355 to 796 of the family's 1533-position model. The record is from RNAcentral.
UGGGGAAUAUUGGACAAUGGGGGCAACCCUGAUCCAGCCAUGCCGCGUGUGUGAUGAAGGCCUUAGGGUUGUAAAGCUCUUUCGCCGGUGAAGAUAAUGCCGGUAACCGGUAAAGAAGCACCGGCUAACUUUGUGCCAGCAGCCGCGGUAAAACGAAGGGGGCUAGCGUUGUUCGGAAUUACUGGGCGUAAAGCGUGCGUAGGCGGACUAUUAAGUCAGGUGUGAAAUCCCGGGGCUCAACCUCGGAAUUGCCUUUGAUACUGGUAGUCUAGAGUCCGUGAGAGGUGAGUGGAACUCCGAGUGUAGAGGUGAAAUUCGUAGAUAUUCGGAAGAACACCAGUGGCGAAGGCGGCUCACUGGCACGGUACUGACGCUGAGGUGCGAAAGCGUGGGGAGCAAACAGGAUUAGAUACCCCCGUAGUCC